This 510-nucleotide ribosomal RNA is filed under the name uncultured Glomeromycotina. RNAcentral's name for it is "SSU rRNA". It matches the Rfam family "Eukaryotic small subunit ribosomal RNA", at positions 569 to 1078 of the family's 1831-position model. The record is from RNAcentral. Lineage: Eukaryota; Fungi; Glomeromycota.
AGCAGCCGCGGUAAUUCCAGCUCCAAUAGCGUAUAUUAAAGUUGUUGCAGUUAAAAAGCUCGUAGUUGAACUUCGGGGUCUACCCAUUGGUCAGGCUUAAUUGUCUGCACUGGUGAGAUGGAUCUCUACCUUCUGAGGAACUUUCAUGCCAUUUAUCUGGUGUGGUGGGAAAUCAGGACUGUUACUUUGAAAAAAUUAGAGUGUUUAAAGCAGACUAUCGUCUGAAUACAUUAGCAUGGAAUAAUGGAAUAGGACGGACUGAUUCUAUUUCGUUGGUUUCUAGGAUCACCGUAAUGAUUAAUAGGGAUAGUUGGGGGCAUUAGUAUUCAAUUGUCAGAGGUGAAAUUCUUGGAUUUAUUGAAGACUAACUACUGCGAAAGCAUUUGCCAAGGAUGUUUUCAUUAAUCAAGAACGUAAGUUAGGGGAUCGAAGACGAUCAGAUACCGUCGUAGUCUUAACCAUAAACUAUGCCGACUAGGGAUCGGACGAAGUUAAUUUUAUAAUGACGCG